GAAAUGCGAUACGUAAUGUGAAUUGCAGAAUUCAGUGAAUCAUCGAAUCUUUGAACGCAAAUUGCGCUUUUGGGUCACCCUGAGAGCAUGCCUCGUUCAGUAUCGUUUCAACCCAUCUCGAGCUUUUAAGGCUUAAUUGUCUUAAAAGAUCGGAAAAUGAGGUGUCUUAGGUUUUUUACCCAAGUCCCUUGAAAUCUAUCGAGUUUUGAUCUUUCAUGUUCCCAAUUCUUUUCGAAGAAGAGGCUCUUGAACUCAGUCUCAAUGGAGAUACUUGACCUUUGUGUCAUUCUCUACAUUGAAUCCGGCUAAUUCAAGGGAGUUUAAUGUGAAAGAUUAAAGACUUCUUUAAACCUCGCUUUUAUAGAAGUGAGACCACCUAACGAUCUGAUCUGAACUGAGG
This 400-nucleotide unclassified non-coding RNA is filed under the name uncultured fungus. RNAcentral's name for it is "sequence contains ITS1". The stretch from base 1 to 105 matches the Rfam family "5.8S ribosomal RNA", at positions 50 to 154 of the family's 154-position model. Lineage: Eukaryota; Fungi. The record is from RNAcentral.